RNAcentral lists this long non-coding RNA (867 nucleotides) under Numida meleagris (helmeted guineafowl). RNAcentral describes it as "lncRNA (ENSNMEG00000010671.1)". Lineage: Eukaryota; Metazoa; Chordata; Aves; Galliformes; Numididae. The record is from RNAcentral.
GCUAUGUUAGCAGCGUCUUCCAAAGCAUUCGCAAAAGAUUUUUCUCCUGUCUCACGUCCCUCCUGAGUUUUAAGUUAAAUAACAAAGAACAGAAGUGGAAAACAUGAUGACAAAACAAUUAAGAGUGCUUACAUCCCCAGCACUGUAAACAGGAGCAAUCUUAGAUUGCACGGGUUCACUAUAGUCCAAAGAAGGCGUGAAACAGUAAAUCAUUGGAACAUCUCCCAAAACGUAUAGCUGCCUUACCACUGGGCCUGCUUCAGAAUCAGCUGACACCAGUGGUGUUAGUGACAGUGAUGUCAGUAAGAUGCUCCUUUUUUGGGCUUUGGAUCUGGCAUAUUGUCAUCCCCACUUCCCACUUUGACCAAUUUGCUUGUUUGCAGAUGGUGAAAACUGAUGUAUCAGCCUCGUUCAUGUUUCCCACUGGGCACCAAGAAAUGAAAAGGCAAAACACCAGGUCUGAAGAAGAUCAAGAGACAAAAAUUCAACAGUGUUAUUUUUUUCCUCAACUUUUUAUUUAGCUCAAAUUUCAUGUUUUCUCUACAAAGUAGGAAAGAUGGAAUCACUCCAAUAACAUUUUACAGGAAUUUCUGAACUACCAAAGUAGUACUACUGUUGAUGGAGACAAUGCUUUGCAAUUACUUUGGUCACUUCAAAUACUAUGACGUCUACAUUCAAGGGAGCAGUGAAUUAUUCAGAGUGCUUGAAGGGUUUCCAGUCUCUGGUUCCCUCUAUAGUCCACUAAAGAGAAGUAGUUGUACCAAGUAAAGAGCUUAUGUUAGGCAAUCUGCUCAGCCUCACUACUGCUACUAAUAUUUUUUCUGCUGACUGAAUAAAGAAACUGUCAGACAGUUUGUUGGCCUGGAU